CUUUGUAGUGUUUCAGUCUGCUCAGAA
RNAcentral lists this non-coding RNA (27 nucleotides) under Cricetulus griseus (Chinese hamster). Lineage: Eukaryota; Metazoa; Chordata; Mammalia; Rodentia; Cricetidae. The record is from RNAcentral.